GAUGAACGCUGGCGGCGUGCCUAAUACAUGCAAGUCGAGCGAACGGACGAGAAGCUUGCUUUUCUGAUGUUAGCGGCGGACGGGUGAGUAACACGUGGAUAACCUACCUAUAAGACUGGGAUAACUUCGGGAAACCGGAGCUAAUACCGGAUAAUAUUUUGAACCGCAUGGUUCAAAAGUGAAAGACGGUCUUGCUGUCACUUAUGGAUGGAUCCGCGCUGCAUUAGCUAGUUGGUAAGGUAACGGCUUACCAAGGCAACGAUGCAUAGCCGACCUGAGAGGGUGACCGGCCACACUGGAACUGAGACACGGUCCAGACUCCUACGGGAGGCAGCAGUAGGGAAUCUUCCGCAAUGGGCGAAAGCCUGACGGAGCAACGCCGCGUGAGUGAUGAAGGUCUUCGGAUCGUAAAACUCUGUUAUUAGGGAAGAACAUAUGUGUAAGUAACUGUGCACAUCUUGACGGUACCUAAUCAGAAAGCCACGGCUAACUACGUG
This 497-nucleotide ribosomal RNA is filed under the name uncultured bacterium. Its description in RNAcentral is "partial 16S ribosomal RNA". It matches the Rfam family "Bacterial small subunit ribosomal RNA", at positions 28 to 507 of the family's 1533-position model. The record is from RNAcentral.